AUGGGCUCUGCAGGCGGAAGGCGGUGGCUCCGAGAUAGGGGUCUUUCAUCUGGGGGUGCCUGUGGAGGCCUUGUUCUUCGUCGGGAACCAGCUCAUUGCUACAAGCCACACGGGGCGCAUCGGGGUGUGGAAUGCCGUCACCAAGCACUGGCAGGUCAGAGUUCUGGCCAGCCUGGCUGCCCCCUUCCCAGUUUUCCAGACUG
RNAcentral lists this small RNA (203 nucleotides) under Pan troglodytes (chimpanzee). RNAcentral describes it as "retained intron". The record is from RNAcentral. Lineage: Eukaryota; Metazoa; Chordata; Mammalia; Primates; Hominidae.